AUCGUUCCUAUUUAAAAAAAAAGGGGGAAAACAAAUUUGCCAAAAUUUCUUGGUACUUUUAUCUCAUUGCUACAAGAUAAUUUAUAUAUUUAAAUUAAAGUAUUUAUUAGUAUGAUUAUCAUUUCAAAAUUAGUAUUAAUAAUUCUUUGACAAAGUCAAGAUGUUUAACUUAAUGACUUAUGUAAUAUUAUUUAGUUUAAUUAUGUUGUGUUAUUGUGAAAAUAAUACAAUUGCAAGAGGUUUUAUGAAAAAAACCUUACCAGCAAUAUUUGACAAUUUCAGACAAAAAACUGAUUGUCAAGUUGGGUUUUUAUUUAAAGCUGGAAAAUGUAGAAAAAUUACACCUUUUUAAUUUGGAACAAAAUUCUUCUACAAUUGCCAAUAAUUAAAGCAAUAAAUAUUAAUAAUCGACAA
Long non-coding RNA from Aethina tumida (small hive beetle), 414 nucleotides. RefSeq lists it as uncharacterized. The transcript is spliced from 2 exons. The record is from RefSeq and is a predicted model, not a curated record. Lineage: Eukaryota; Metazoa; Arthropoda; Insecta; Coleoptera; Nitidulidae.